CUCUUGUAAGGUGAAGCCUGCCCAAUGACUGCCAAUAAUCUAAUAAAAAUCAGUUCAAUGGCCGCGGUAACUCUGACCGUGAUAAAAGUAGCAUAAUCACUUGUCACUUAAUUGGUGACUGGAAUGAAUGGCUAAAACGAAUCCUCCUCUGUCUCUGAAGAAAUCCUGGCAAAUUUGAAAUAGCAGUGAAAGAUGCUGCUAAAUAAUUGUAAGACGAAAAGACCCUAUCGAGCUUUACUGGAAUCUUGCAAAGUAAACAUAGUUAUUAAAGACAAAAUUAUACAAAUUGUCAAGCCCGACAGUUUGGUUGGGGCGACCACCCCUAAAAACGUAUCAGGGGAACUCUAAAGGCUGUCAUAAUUAUGAAAAACCGCCUUACUGGAGACAAACAAGUCAAUCAGUUAUAAUUUAAUAGGACAUAUUGACCCGUUAUUUAGCUUCACAACAAAUAACGACUAUGAAAAAAGCUACCGUAGGGAUAACAGGGUAAUAUUUUCAGAGAGUCCAUAUCGAUGAAAAUGUUUGCCA
RNAcentral lists this ribosomal RNA (528 nucleotides) under Aurelia aurita (moon jelly). Its description in RNAcentral is "partial 16S ribosomal RNA". It matches the Rfam family "Bacterial large subunit ribosomal RNA", at positions 1842 to 2523 of the family's 2925-position model. The record is from RNAcentral. Lineage: Eukaryota; Metazoa; Cnidaria; Scyphozoa; Semaeostomeae; Ulmaridae.